GAUGAACGCUGGCGGCAUGCCUAAGACAUGCAAGUCGAACGAAGUGGUUUUAUGAAGGAAUGAGUGCUUGCACGAAUUUUGGAUUAAAGUUGCCACUUAGUGGCAGACGGGUGAGUAACACGUGGGUAACCUACCCUGAAGACUGGGAUAACUACUGGAAACGGUAGCUAAUACCGGAUAAUUCAUCUUUAGAUAACUAGAGGUGCUAAAAGGAGCGUAUGCUUCACUUCAGGAUGGGCUUGCGGUGUAUUAGCUAGUUGGUGGGGUAAUGGCCUACCAAGGCAACGAUGCAUAUCCGAGCUGAGAGGCUGAUCGGACACACUGGGACUGAGACACGGUCCAGACUCCUACGGGAGGCAGCAGUGAGGAAUCUUGCGCAAUGGGGGAAACCCUGACGCAGCAACGCCGCGUGAGUGAGGAAGGCCUUGGGUCGUAAGACUCUGUCAGAUGGGAGAAAUGGAUGGGGCGUAAUAUCGCCCAU
This 481-nucleotide ribosomal RNA is filed under the name uncultured bacterium. RNAcentral's name for it is "bacterial SSU rRNA". It matches the Rfam family "Bacterial small subunit ribosomal RNA", at positions 28 to 473 of the family's 1533-position model. The record is from RNAcentral.